This 364-nucleotide ribosomal RNA is filed under the name uncultured bacterium. Its description in RNAcentral is "partial 16S ribosomal RNA". It matches the Rfam family "Bacterial small subunit ribosomal RNA", at positions 282 to 658 of the family's 1533-position model. The record is from RNAcentral.
GGUAGCCGGCCUGAGAGGGCGACCGGCCACACUGGGACUGAGACACGGCCCAGACUCCUACGGGAGGCAGCAGUGGGGAAUAUUGGGCAAUGGAGGRAACYCUGACCCAGCGACNCCGCGNGNGGGAUGAAGGCCUUCGGGUUGUAAACCNCUUUCANCARGGAANAAGCNAAAGKGACGGUACNUGCANAARAAGCACCGGCUAACUAUGUGCCAGCAGCCGCGGUAAUACAUAGGGUGCAAGCGUUGUCCGGAAUUAUUGGGCGUAAAGAGCUCGUAGGUGGUUCGUCACGUCGGAUGUGAAAAUCNGGGGCUUAACCCCAGACCUGCAUUCGAUACGGGCRANCUAGAGUGUGGUAGGGGA